Molecule: long non-coding RNA, 1365 nt
Organism: Lepus europaeus (European hare)
Lineage: Eukaryota; Metazoa; Chordata; Mammalia; Lagomorpha; Leporidae
Exons: 3
Source: RefSeq, a predicted model, not a curated record
GAUUCAGUAUAUACUAAGAAAAAAAUUUCAUCGGUUUGCACCCACACAGAAAUACAAAGUGUAAAAAUACUGUUUCAGUACUAGCUAUAGCAUUACUUCACAUUGGACAACCCAUUAAGGACAGAUCCCACAUGGGACAUCUGAGAAGAAUGCCUUUGGUAUUUUGAUUGGAAUUGCAUUGAAUCUGUAAAUUGCUUUUGGGAGAGUGGACAUUUUGAUGAUGUUGAUUCUUCCAAUACAUGAACAUGGAAGAUUCCUCCAUUUUUUGCUCUCUGCUGUGGCCUGGGAAAGCAGUAGAAGAUAGCCCAAGCCCUUGGGCCCCUGCAACCAUGUGGAAGACCUGGAAAAAGCUCCUGGCUCCUGGCUUCGGAUCGGCACAGCUCCAUUGUGGCCAUCUGGGGAGUGAACCAGCAGAUGGAAGACCUCUCUCUGUGUCUCUACCUCUCUCUGUAACUCUGCCUGUCAAAUAAAUAAAAAUAAACAAACAAAAAAAAGUAAAUGAUGUAUCUGACAGAAGACCAUUUGGUCUCCAGGUAUACAGAAAUGGGUUCUAAAAUUUCUAUAGACAACUGGUCUCAUACAAGAUGGCUGUGGGAUGGAGAUGGGUAUUCAGACCAUUUGAGCUGAAUUGUAUAUGAGCUGAAUGUAGGUUGCACCUCUGUCACUGUUUACUGAUCUUUAAGAUGAGUAUAGCAGUAAUACUAGUGAAAUGUCCUUACUGUGAGAUGUGUGCAGGCUGACUUGCACUGUGUUGCAAUUUAUGGGGUUUUUGGUGUAUCUUCUUUAAAUGAAGUUUCUGGUUUCCUGCACUGUAUAGCCUGCCCAGUGCUACUCACUUGAGGUUACAGAACUUAUACAAUACCUAGUUUCUGGGAACAUGGAUGUUUGGGUACUGGAGGACAGUCCCAUUUCCUUUGGAAGUGAGAAGUUGUUAUGGUAUUUGAAGAAGGGAGCACAACAAAUAGGAAUCUUUUCCAACAGAAUACAACUGAAUGCUCUCUGAGAUAACACCUUAAGGAUCAGAGCAGAGACAAGCGUCAUUAAAAAGUAAAGAUCCUAGUUGCAUGGUCCAAGCAAUUAUGGAUCAUACUGGCCAGAGUGAACAAGAUAUACUUGAUAUUACCUUACCUCAUCCAUUAGUUUUCAAGACUUGGUGGUAAUAGAAGUACUGGACCAGCAUUCAAAAGAGAGUUGUGAAUGGAUUAGAAAGACAGUGGACUUAAGGGUGCAGACUGGGGUUAGGGAUAACCUCUUCUAUCUGAGAGUCACUAUCUGCAUUGCUUCCUACCACAUGCCCGUUACUUCAUUCCAGUAUCAGCAUCUCUAGAAAUGGAGAUCUGUGAAACCUAGUCUGUCAUAUACUUG